GCCCGCCUUAUCGCCCCUCCGCCGCCCCCGCGGGCCCGCCCUGCGCUGCCCCGAUAAGGGACCGGUGGGCGCACUCGGCGCCUCCGGAGGAGCCAAAAUGUAGAAUGGGUACUGCCCCUGAGCUGUGUGGCAGAAACUGUUCAGUUACAGCGAUUUGAGUAUUGCCAAUACGUGCCUGUUUGCCUAUCUAUACACAUUAAUGGCAAAAAUGCCUGCGACAUGCGACUUCGUUACACUCCACACUGGGCAGAAGAUGCCUCUCGUGGGACUGGGAACUUGGAAAAGUGACCGUGGCCAAGUGAAGGAGGCAGUGAAACAUGCCCUCAGUGUGGGCUAUCGCCACAUCGACUGCGCAGCCGCCUACAGCAACGAAGCCGAGAUCGGGGAGGCCUUCCAGGAAUGUGUUGGGCCCAACAAGGUUAUUAAAAGGGAGGACCUGUUUGUAACAUCAAAGCUCUGGAAUACCAAGCACCACCCAGAAGAUGUAGAGCCAGCACUGAGAAAAACACUUGGAGAUAUGAAACUGGAUUACCUGGACCUGUACCUCAUGCACUGGCCUCAUGCCUUUGAACGAGGGGACAAUCUCUUCCCAAAGAAUCCCGAUAACACGAUGCGUUAUGACUACAUUGAUUACAAGGAUACCUGGAAGGCUAUGGAGAAACUGGUGGGAAAAGGUCUUGUGAAAGCCAUUGGGCUGUCAAACUUCAACAGUCGUCAGAUUGAUGAUGUACUAAGUGUGGCUACUGUGAAGCCAGCUGUGCUCCAGGUGGAAUGCCAUCCUUACCUAGCUCAAAAUGAGCUGAUUGCUCACUGCCAGAAACGAGGACUGGUGGUCACUGCCUACAGUCCCCUUGGCUCUCCAGAUCGCAUGUGGAAACACCCAGAUGAGCCUGUGCUGCUAGAGGAACCUGGGGUCAAAAAAAUUGCAGAAAAAUACAGCAAGUCACCUGCACAGAUCAUCCUCAGAUGGCAAGUGCAGCGUAAAGUGGUUGUCAUUCCCAAGAGCGUCACUCCUGCUCGCAUUCAGCAGAAUCUCCAGGUGUUUGACUUCAGCCUUACAGAAGAGGAGAUGAGCCACAUUGGAAGCCUGAAUAAAAACUGGCGUUAUAUUGUGCCAAUGAUUACGGUGUGUUCAUUGCUGAUGUUAUCCCCCCCUUCUCUCAAAUUCCUGGAGUAGACUGGAAUCAGUGAUGUGAAACAUUGCUUCUGGCAGCUGCUGUCUUGGCCUGCUGUGGAUGGAAAGCUAGUAGCCAGAGAUGCUGGACACCCCCACUACCCCUUCAAUGACCCCUAUUAACCAUUGGAAAAUAAGGUGUUAAAGCAAUGCUCCCGGGUGUGCCCUUCCACAAUGUAAUUGUUGCCACGAUUUGUCAAAAGCACUGUCCAAAUUGAAACCUUCCUUCCCAAGUAGGUUUUCCGACAAUGUAUUACUUCUAAUCGACCUCCUGCCUGGAGAUCCUGUAGCUUCCGUGCCAAAGUUUGUGGAUUUAUUACGACUGCAAGCUGGCUCCUGGAGGCAUCAGAUCUUUUGAAGAUUUGAUAAAGAGUGAUGAGUCUAAGUCAAGUUCCAAAUGCAUCAUUGUCAGACUAGGACAUUACUUUGGGUAACUACUUUGGUCACUACUGUGAAACGGUUUUGAAAACUUAAGUUACUACCAGGAUGAGGGAAAAAAAUAAGAAGGAUGAAGGCAUGAAAGUUUUUUAAGUCUAAAGAAUUUCUCAGCCAUCAACUUUGAUAUCUUUAUGAAUAAUUUUUUACACAGGGAAUAAAGUGACAUGUGCUACAGUUGCACUAUGUCCAUAAACCAUUUAUUAAAAGCCAAGUAAUCAGUCAUGCCCAGUGCUUUUAUCCACUUCAUAGUACUUUUGGGACCUAGAGUUCUCAAUUUUCUUUCUUUUAAUUUGGCUGUAGAUUUGAGCAGAAUAAAAGCAGACCCUGGAGCAGGCCUUCAGGGCAAUCCUCUCUCUUACUUGUCACAGUGCUGGAUUUCAGCUCUGACAGCAGCUCUGAUCCUAUCACAAAAGCCACAAGAACUUUUUUUAGCAAAUCUUGCAGAAAAACAUCCUGCUUUUCCCGUGAAGCUGUCUAGUGUUUCUUUACCAAAGAUGUCCAUUUUGAGUUAUGGAAGGUCACAAAAUUAGUUCCUAAUUGUACCGUAAGACCAAAGACCUUUCAGAGCUCUCAAUGUUUUAAUGUUGCAUUUUUGGCUGCUGCCAAAAAAUGUCUUUGGUUGAUGCUUAAGAGAGCUGCUCCUGUCGUACCACUGACCUGCUGGUAACUUGGGAUGAGUCAUUUGCCUUUUGUGCCUGUUUUCCUACUUGCCAUGUCUCUGUGUUCCCCUGGCAGGGUCUAAUUUGCUGAGUGCUGAUGCACCCUUUGACUGGAACUCCAGCUGUAAGCACAGUUUUCUUUUGUUUCAGUCUUCUAAUGAAUUGGCUGGUCAUCUGAGCACAAAGGGCACAAGGUGUUGUUAGUACCUACCUGUGCUCUGGUGGUGACACUUUCUGUGGCCUUAGAAACAUCAACACUUUAUUUUGGUUCUCUCUACCUGUUAAAUAGGAUUUUUUCCCCAUAGUAGUAGAAGCAAUUAGAAAAAGUCUUGUGUAUCAAAUAGUUCAAAAGUUUAAGAAUUGGACACUUUAAUUUUAAUAACCUCAUUUGCAAUAGGCCUAUAGCAGAUUUAUGUAUUCAUUUUGAGUAUAAAGCCUUCUCAGGUAAUUUGUCCCCUGGGCCUCACAGUGUGCAGCUGAACUGCAAAAAAAAAAAAAGUGACACCCAUUUAUCACUCCUUGUAAACCACAGGCAAAAUUUCAGGAACUUCUAUUCAUUCAUAAGAUGUUUCCUAAUUCCUGAUGAAUUUUCCUCAAUGGAGGAAGCCGUUGCAUCUCAUUUAGGAUUCUUUACUAGACUGGACAUUUUCUCCUAAGGAAAAUUAAAAUUCCUGUUCAUUUUUUUAAUUGUUCUAAUCAAACACUUUGAAUAUGGUUCUUGUUGCAAUCAUUAGGCAAGCAAUUGUACUUUCAAGGCACUCUGGAGACUGCAGUCACUCUGCCAAGGAUAGUGGCUUUUCUUGCUUGUUUCACUUGCAUGUUUGCUUGUUUAAAUAAAUUCUGUACUCAUUGUA
Parus major (Great Tit) is the source of this 3125-nucleotide RNA transcript. It is a transcript of the gene named aldo-keto reductase family 1 member A1, with no coding region annotated. The transcript is spliced from 10 exons. NCBI's taxonomy places the organism in Eukaryota, Metazoa, Chordata, Aves, Passeriformes, Paridae. The record is from RefSeq and is a predicted model, not a curated record.